RNAcentral lists this ribosomal RNA (252 nucleotides) under uncultured bacterium. RNAcentral's name for it is "partial 16S ribosomal RNA". It matches the Rfam family "Bacterial small subunit ribosomal RNA", at positions 524 to 776 of the family's 1533-position model. The record is from RNAcentral.
UACGUAGGUCCCGAGCGUUGUCCGGAUUUAUUGGGCGUAAGGCGAGCGCAGGUGGUUUAUUAAGUCUGAUGUAAAAGGCAGUGGCUCAACCAUUGUAUGCAUUGGAAACUGGUAGACUUGAGUGCAGGAGAGGAGAGUGGAAUUCCAUGUGUAGCGGUGAAAUGCGUAGAUAUAUGGAGGAACACCGGUGGCGAAAGCGGCUCUCUGGCCUGUAACUGACACUGAGGCUCGAAAGCGUGGGGAGCAAACAGG